UCUCCAACUGAAAGAAGUGUUUAAUGCAUCACAAUUGGUAUUGAUAGGUAAACGGACACUGCUAAAAAUCAGAGGAUUACUAUGCUACCUAAACUAGGGAUGUUACUGAAUUUUGUAAUUCAUUGCCUUGGAAUAUAAAUCUUCCUUGCCAUUGACAAUUCUUCAACUCAAUUUGAUUGCAAUUCAAGGCAGAGAAGAACUAUGUUCCUAUUGCCACCAACAAUGGUGCCAGAUUGCCAGAUUGCUGCUAUGGUAGUAAGCCAAGCACCAGCAAUGCUGGGAAAUGUAAAUAAAAAUCACCAAGUGCUAGGAAAACUACAAUUGCAACCCCUGGCUUGUUGUGUAAGUAGCAUGAAAUGGGAAGGUAUACCUGCAGAUCAGUGAUGGGACGGAGUUUGAUGGAGUUUGCCCACUUUCACCCUAAAUGUGUCACAUGGUGACUUUACUGUGGAGGCUAUGAGAGCAGGGUAUAAGCCGGAAUGGAAACUCCUUUUCAGUAUGAGGAACAUGCUGAAUGGGCAUACCAGUGGUGGGCAUGGCUAGAGGCUAAAAGCUGGUGUAGCAACAGACGGGGCUCUUGCCUUUGUACAACAGGAUACAGUCAAGCCAUGCACAAUUCAGAGAUUUCUAGGCACGUAUCUAUCCAUCCAUGCAAUUAAGAAGCACCAUCACAAUUAAGGACACAUUCAAGCCAAGCAGAAGCACACAAGGAAGGGAUUAAGCAGGGCCAGUGAGGGGUAUGCCCUGGAGAGAGUCUCUCAAGGACUGGGCAGAGGGCUGAAGGCCACAUUUUAUCCCUUGGCCUGAAGUUCCCCACCCCUUGUAUAACACAACACUCCCUCAACCCAUUUCAAAAAGCUAUUUUCUGAAAUGGCUUUCCUUCCUAGAACAAAUAUGCACUCAGGUUUCGGUCAAACACAAUAAGGACAAAAACAAGUGAAUUUCUCCUUCAUUCCGCCCUUAAUGCAAUAAAUACAGCAUUUGCUGCAUCCUGCUAUUAUCAAAUAUCGUUUCUUAAGAGGAAAGCUAAUUUGUUCUUGCCAAGAGAUUUAUUGAUAAGAGCUGUUCUGCACACAUUACACAAAUCCAAUCUUUUGGCAACAAUGAGAUCAAAACUUGCCUCAACGCAUGAUUCAGACAGAUAACUUUAUAAGCAGAAGAGUGCCACAGGGUUUACUUUUAUGCAAUUGCGAGCCACAGAAGGAUAUUUGGACCAAUGAAUAACAUUAAUCUUUCUUGUUUUCUGUAUGAAAUUGACUGCAGACAGGCCCAGCAGCAAAAGCAGAAGUCUGGCAAAGAAGUGAAAAGUUCCCAUCUAUAUGCAUUGGAUCAUUAUUAAUUUCUUUUAAAAAUCUUAAUCUACACUAAAACUAAACCACCGUUCCAAAUUAUCAAUUUCUUUAACAUGCUAUUUAAACAUCAAAUACAUAGUUGAGUAUUUAAAAUGCAUAGAGAAUGUUCAUUUCCAGUGAACAGGAUGGCUUUUUAUCUUCAGUGAAAUCCUGAUAAUCUACAGCUUCUAUAUUUCACCAUGAAAUGUUCAAGCUUCAGCACCAGCAAACAAUCAUUUCCUUUUUCUAGCACUGUACUCUGACUGGUAGCAGCUAUUGGUGUGGCUGUUCCGGCAGACAGGAAAAGUCCCCUUUCCUCUUAUAGUUGUGGGGAGCGAUACAGGAUGGAACACCGAAAAAAACCUUGUAACUGCGCCAAUGCAACCAAAGCAGAAAGCUAUGAUCAGCCUGUCUCCAAGUCCAAACAAGUACAUUUUCCAGAGUUUCACAUUUUACAUAUUUUUUCAAAGAUUGUAUUUUCAGUAGAUUUCCACUUAGCAUAGGAUACUUUACAUCAUGGUCGAGACUGCUCUUGGUCACCUACUCUUAUCAGUUUCAGAACACCUCUGGAGGCCUUAAAUCUGUAUGGAAGACCAGACCACCCAGAUCUCACUCGAGUGCAACUACACCACUUGUGGUUUUCCAUAGCCACAUGGCAGGGCUGGCUAGUCCACAGGUUUCAGCUGUCCUCCCACAGCCGACAACAGGGAAACACCAAAACAUUAUUUUGGAAGUGGUAGCACAAAAGGAAACUUCCCUGACAAAAGUGGAGCUCCUUUUCAUGCCAGAAGUUGAGGCAUCCGGAAGUCAAGGUACCACUGUACAACUGUCAUCAGCUCCAGGAAGAUCAAUGAUCAGAGAUUGUGGAAGUUGUACUCCAAAACAUCUAGAAGGUGUAAUGUUGGUUUUCUCUUUUCUAGAGCUAACUUUGGGGGUGGGAGGGGCUAAGUAAUGUUGGUGUUGUGGCUUUCCCUAAAACAUCAUAACACCGUAGAUUGGCAAAGCUGUUAAAAUAAUCAUGCAGAAGAAACACAUGUAGAUGUUCAUAGUUUCAUCACAGCUACCUUUAUUGGGGAGGAGACAGAAGCCAUGAAAUAAGCUUGUGCCCAUAGUAGUACAAUUAUAUGUACUUUCUAAGUGAGGGAGGAAGGGGAAGAGUUCAGGAAUGAGUGCUGAAGUCAUUCUUUGAACACUAGGAUCUAGGAAGAAUCAAAUUAAAUCGAGAAAGGGGAAGAAGGAAGAGGAAAGAUUCAACUUACAAAAAUGCUAUCGAAAAGGGAAGGUUCAGUAGGAAUGGUUGUACUGCAACAAAAUAGGCAAGAGGAGCCUUUCAUAUUUGUUAUCAAAGAAAACUAUGUUUUUAAAAGCCAGAGAAGUGCACAUGCUUAUUUGUCUGUUGUUACCUCUGUAUUCUCUUCAAGCUGUAGCUGCCUGGCAACAGCCUCAUCAUCUAGUGUGGGAUCCCUGCUUUGUGACAGCUGCACCGCAAAGAGAGAAGAAUCACAGGGGAGCUCACAGUGAACCCAUUACUUAGACAAGCAUCAUGGAAUAAUGACCGAGAAGAAAAAUCAUAAAGCCUCAACCUAAAUGCCUGUGCUUAAAACAAGAAGCAAGUGGAACAGGAAUUGUACAGGGAGGAAAUCUAAUUCUAGGUGAUAAAGACGUUUUCAAAGCAACAUUUCAGAGAACCUAAUGCUAAGAAUAUUGAUCACAUAUUUUAGUGUGCCGGCAUAUUGAUUCUGGACAUUCAUCACAUUUUAUUGCACAACAAUGCCACAUCCCAUAGGCAGACACCAAAAUGCUAGGCACAGACAAGGAAGUGAGAAUUAAGGGCUUUGCUUUCCUCUUCUUCCUGACUGGCACAGACUCAAAGUGCAUGGUACUUGAACACUGGAAAGUCAGCACUCCCCACACAACAAAUGGACUAAUGUUUUGCAUUCCUUGCCCAAAUAUGAAUAGGCCUUGUAUCAACAUGAGUGUAAAGAGGACAGAUAUGAAAGCAUCUGGUCAGCUUGUCUUGAGAUUUAUGGUCAAUAGUUGUCAGUAGCAGACACUGGUAAGAGUCACACCAUACCUUUAAGGAUACUGGGAACUGUAGUUUGUUAAGGGUGCUGGGAGGCCAGAAUCCUUAGUAAACUACAGCUCACAGGUUUCUCCAUGGUGGUUAUGGUGCCAUAAAAGCACUUUAAAUGCAUGAUGUAGCUGUGAACAUCGCUUCCUAUUCCAUUUCAUGCAUCUUAAAUGACAUAACCCACCUUCCUCAUCUCUUAUUUGUAUCAGAAUAUCUCUUCUUUUAAAACGGUUACUCUCUUUAUAUAGGGAGCAGUCUCCCUCAUUUUCCUUAAUUUGAUAUUACGCGGCAAACUGCCAUUUCCAAAAUCCACUUAAGGUGCUCUUCUCACACCCUAAUAAAAGGAAGUCUAGAUGAAACGGACCACACACCAAUAGUUUAUUCAUGAAGUUCAUGAACUCUCCUGCUCAUAAGCACACAUCAGCUAGAAGAGUCACCCUCUUGCAUUACUCACUUCUUUUCGUUUGCUUGACACCAGUUUCUUCUCUGAUCGCUGAAUGCUACCAGUUCCAAAGUAAUCGAUUACAGAGGUUGGUGUCAGUUUUACUGGAGAUAGGGGUUUACUUUUCAGUUUUGGUUUGGGAUCAGUCUUUGAUGCUCCAGAUGCCCCAAAACGAAUAGCCGCAGAUGUCCCAUUUUCCUUGGGUUUGGGAGCGACCUUCUUAUUAACAAAGUCCUCUUCUUCAUCUGCAUGCCAAGAAAGAAAUAUAUUUAAUUACUCCUCAGCACCAAAACACCAACCUGAAAGUAAUGUUUCCUUACUAAGGAAAUAUAUAUAUUAAAAAAUCCAAAGGGCCCAGAGUCUCAACCUGUUAUUAGGCCUCUCUCAACCAUUUCCCCCACACAGAAAGAAAAAUAUUUUCUUGGGUAUGGCCUUGGAAGGGAGACCCUAUGCAAAAAAGAUGGAGAUUAUCUCCAUCUAUUUGCACAGGUGCUGCUUUUAGAGGCUGCACCCUGAAAAACUGCUGCACCAAGUGCAUAACUACACUCUGCACAAUGACCUGUGGUCCAAAGGGUCUUUGGUAGUGGGUGGCUGUUGGGUCUCUAGCAGGGUUUAUACCAUAUGCAGCCUUUCAAAACAGGGGUAAAAGGGGAAAUCUUGUCUGCCAUGCAUUUAAAUCUGGGUGCUUUCAAUGUUCACAUCUCCCCUGCAGAGACCUUGAUCAAGCCCACAAAGCUCAGUCCCAGGCCUGACCCCAACAACCUUUGGUGACAUUUCAAGAACCAAGCUAAUGUCCACAUUCAGCAGCUGUGUCUUUGGCAGCAAUCAUUUCUGUGCUGAAAAUGAAGCACAGCCCGUUCUGAACGUGGAGAUCCUUCCUGUGACACUUAACCUCUUUGCUUGGUCAUCACCCUGUUCUCAAUGCUAUGUGAGCAGGCCUUUUCCUCCAGAGAUGCAAGAAUUGCAAUUAUACAGCCCUCUUAUCUGAAGAGAAAUGUUAAAACCUUGAGCUGCAAUAAAAACAUAAAACUGAAUCUAUUUAAAUAUUAGUCCCAUUUUAUUACUUCUCUAGAGAAAUUAAAACAAACACGGACAUGUCUUCAUAUCACAGCAACAGCCACCCUAGCUACUGUGUCUUGCUGCCCAUACAAUAUGAUCAUAAGAAUAGCACGUAUAUUAAAACCAUUGAACCAGCUUCCAGGGCAGAAGAGAGAGCCAGUGAAUCCUUCUGAUGGUUGCAUUGUUUCUUAAGGGCACAUUUUAGUUUUCAGACAAGCUUAAAAAGGACACUUCACUGAAAGAUCUGAAGCUGGUAUUUGAGUAGGUGAGGCAGAAAUGGCCUCCUCCAGUCCCAGCUCUGUCAUCCCUGUUUUCCCCCUACCUCUUGCUAAUAUAUUACAUGUGAAACCCUUACUUCUGCUUCACUGUGGCUGCUAUUUUGUAAUUAGAAAGACUACUACAGCGGGUGGCUUGCCGAUCAAAAGGUCGGUGGUUCGAAUCCCCGUGACAGGGUGAGCUCCCGUUGCUUGGUCCCAGCUCCUGCCCACCUAGCAGUUUGAAAGCACGUCAAAGUGCAAGUAGAUAAAUAGGUACCGCUCCAAGUGGGAAGGUAAACAGCGUUUCUGUGUGCUGCUCUGGUUUCGCCAGAAGGGGCUGUCAUGCUGGCCACAUGACCCGGAAAAACUGCCUCUGGACAAAUGUCAGUUCCCUCGGCCAGUAAAGCGAGAUGAGCGCCGCAACCCCAGAGUCGUCCGCGACUGGACCUAACGGUCAGGGGUCCCUUUACCCUUUACCUUUACUACAAAUCAGGCAUGGAUGACAUUCCCAGACUUUUGCUUCCUCUGAUGGUGAAAAGCUUUGGUAUAUAAGAAUCAGUAAGAUUUUAUUCUGGUCUCUGUGAACUUUGUUUUCAGUGUUUCAGAAUUUCCAGUUUCCAAUAAACACCAGGGUCCUUCCUCAAAAAUCUUCCAUGAUCAGUAAUGAAAGUCUGAUCUGGCAAAUAGCAAGCAGUUUUGUUGAAAAGCAAAGCUACCCACCAACUCCGGAGACACAAAACCAAACUGACUAAGGAAAUGCCAGAGCUCAAAGGGGAAGGGGGGAAGAGGUAGAACGGAUCUUUUGCUUUAAAUCAGUCAAUUAAUUUCCCAAGACACUCCAAUGACAGAGGUUUGGUGGGAUUACAAACUGUUUUCAUGUGGAGCAAUGCCUUUCUCUAGGGAAGGAAAUAGAGAUCUGCAUUUUAUUCCCAAAAAUCCAUGGUAGUAGCAGAAGCCCACAUCCACCAAUGACUAUAAGGGUAAGGUUCUAAAGGUUCUUGCUGGUGGGUGACAUUGGUCCCAUCUCAGUGUUCCCUGGGGAUCCAUGUUCCUUUUUCUAACACCACCCUAUGAUCCUAUUAUAGCUAUCCCCAAACUGUAAAGCCUGCCUUUACAAAAGAAACAUAGCUGCUAUGUCAUCCCCUCAGAAGGGAUAACAAUGCCUGCAAAUUGCAGCCAAAUCUGGCAGUAAACAAAAAACAGUGUUAUUGACUUGUCAUUUGCUUUU
This is a non-coding RNA of Zootoca vivipara (common lizard), 6388 nucleotides long. The record is from RefSeq and is a predicted model, not a curated record. NCBI's taxonomy places the organism in Eukaryota, Metazoa, Chordata, Lepidosauria, Squamata, Lacertidae.